This 105-nucleotide non-coding RNA is filed under the name Hathewaya proteolytica. RNAcentral's name for it is "Clostridium proteolyticum NiCo sequence". It matches the Rfam family "NiCo (Nickel/Cobalt) riboswitch aptamer". RNAcentral also lists the same sequence under 1 other name. The record is from RNAcentral. Lineage: Bacteria; Bacillati; Bacillota; Clostridia; Eubacteriales; Clostridiaceae.
ACAGUACAAACUGAGCAGGCGAUGAACCUUUGUGUAAAGAAGGUCAUGGGGCCGGGCCGUGAGUAGCGGCAGCAGAUUGCAAGUAUGCACAUCUGUGGGACAGUA